This 173-nucleotide non-coding RNA is filed under the name Desulfuribacillus stibiiarsenatis. Its description in RNAcentral is "6S / SsrS RNA". It matches the Rfam family "6S / SsrS RNA". Rfam says of the family: E. coli 6S RNA was the first non coding RNA to be sequenced, but its function was unknown until recently. Lineage: Bacteria; Bacillati; Bacillota; Desulfuribacillia; Desulfuribacillales; Desulfuribacillaceae. The record is from Rfam by way of RNAcentral.
AGAGCCCUACAAUGCAAGUGAUACCGACGCGUUUUGAUCCAACACUUCAAUUUCGGGAGUUUGCGUCUAUUCAUGGAUGGGUAGCCCCUUGAGGGAUUCCAGAAGUGUUUAGCAGAACACCCACCUGCUGUAGGCAGGUUCAAAACCUAGGAGCACGGCAGAGCGGGGCUCUU